Molecule: ribosomal RNA, 1693 nt
Filed under: Brachyistius frenatus (kelp perch)
Lineage: Eukaryota; Metazoa; Chordata; Actinopteri; Embiotocidae
Description: 16S ribosomal RNA
Rfam family: Bacterial large subunit ribosomal RNA (bases 99-1583)
Source: RNAcentral
UGCUCAACAGCUAGCCCAUCAUAAUAAUAACAACAAGUCCCUAUAAAUAAACCCAAAACCACUAAAACAGAAGAAACAAACCAUUUUACCCCCUAAGUACGGGAGACAGAAAAGGAACACGGAGCAAUAGAAAAAGUACCGCAAGGGAAAGCUGAAAGAGAAAUGAAAAAACCCAGUAAAGCCGGAAAAAGCAGAGAUAAUCGCUCGUACCUUUUGCAUCAUGAUUUAGCCAGUCCCCCUCAAGCAAAGCGCAUUUUAGUUUGAUACCCCGAACCUAGGUGAGCUACUCCAAGACAGCCUAACAAAUAGGGCAACCCCGUCUCUGUGGCAAAAGAGUGGGAAGAGCUUUGAGUAGAGGUGAUAGACCUACCGAGCCUAGUUAUAGCUGGUUGCCUGAGAAUUGAAUAGAAGUUCAGCCCCUCGAAUUCUUCCCUUAAAUAUGCCCACAGCUACCCUAAGACUAAAAGAAAUCAAGGGAGUUAGUUAAAGGGGGUACAGCCCCUUUAAAACGAGACACAACUUUUACAGCAGACUAAAGAUCAUAAUACUUUAAGGGGGGUUAUGUCCCAGUGGGCCUAAAAGCAGCCAUCCUAGAAGAAAGCGUUAAAGCUCGAACAUAACCUACAUCCUAUAAUCCUGAUAAUAACAUCUUAAGCCACUAUUACUACCAGGCCAUCCCAUGCAAACAUGGGAGCGACCAUGCUAAUAUGAGUAAUAAGAGAGGCUAACCCUCUCUCCUAGCACACAUAUAUCUCGGAACGGACCCCCCACCGAAUCUUAAACGGCCCCAAACAAAGAGGGUAAUGAAUACUAAAGAGAUUACCAGAAAAUCAUUCAAUGUUUUACCGUUAACCCCACACUGGUGUGCACCCAAGGAAAGACUAAAAGAAAAAGAAGGAACUCGGCAAACACUUAAAGCCUCGCCUGUUUACCAAAAACAUCGCCUCUUGAAUACAAAUAAUAAGAGGUCCUGCCUGCCCUGUGACCAUGAGUUUAACGGCCGCGGUAUUUUGACCGUGCAAAGGUAGCGCAAUCACUUGUCUUUUAAAUGAAGACCUGUAUGAAUGGCACGACGAGGGCUUAACUGUCUCCUUUUUCCAGUCAAUGAAAUUGAUCUCCCCGUGCAGAAGCGGGGAUAAAAACAUUAGACGAGAAGACCCUAUGGAGCUUUAGACACCAGGACAGUCCAUGUCAAACACCCCUAUUUAAAGGACUGAACCAAUUGGGCCCUGUUCUAAUGUCUUUGGUUGGGGCGACCACGGGGAAACACAAAACCCCCAUGUGGACCAGGAAUACUUUUCCUACAACUAAGAGUUACAACUCUAAUAAACAGAACUUCUGACCAGAUAUGAUCCGGCAAUGCUGAUCAACGGACCAAGUUACCCUAGGGAUAACAGCGCAAUCCCCUCUAAGAGCCCAUAUCGACGAGGGGGUUUACGACCUCGAUGUUGGAUCAGGACAUCCUAAUGGUGCAACCGCUAUUAAGGGUUCGUUUGUUCAACGAUUAAAGUCCUACGUGAUCUGAGUUCAGACCGGAGUAAUCCAGGUCAGUUUCUAUCUAUGACAAUGAUCUUUUCCAGUACGAAAGGACCGAAAAGAAGGGGCCCAUACUUUCAGCAAGCCUCACCCCCACCUAAUGAAAACAACUAAAACAAGCAAAAGGGCAUAUCCCCCAUGCCUAAGAUAAUGGCAU